UCCUCCCCGUUCGACAGACAGCCGCAUCUUCUGGUGCAGUGCCUGCCGCGACCCCGAGCGAGACACCAUGGUGAAUGUCGGAGUGAACGGAUUUGGCCAUAUUGGGCUCCUGGUCACCAGGGCUGCUUUUACCUCUGGCAAAGUGGAUAUUGUCGCCAUCAAUGACCCCUUCAUUGUUCUCAACUACAUGGUGUAUAUGUUUCAGUAUGAUUCUACCCACGGCAAAUUCCACCACAUGGUCAAGGCUGAGAACAGGAAACUUGUCAUCAAUGGGAAGUCCAUCUCCAUCUUCCAGGAGUGAGAUCCCGCCAACAUCAAAUGGGGUGAUGCUGGUGCUGAGUAUGUUGUGGAGUCCACUGGGGUCUUCACCACCAUGGAGAAGGCUGGGCAAUGCCUCCUGCACCACCAACUGCUUGGCUCCUGUAGCCAAAGUCAUCCAUGACCACCUUCGGCAUCAUGGAGGGCCUCAUGACCACCAUCCAUGCCAUCACUGCCACCCAGAACACUGUGGACGACCCCUCUGGGAAGCUGUGGCGUGACAGCUGAGGGGCUGCCCAGAACAUCUUCCCUGCUUCCACUGGCACUGCCAAGGCUGUGGGCAAGGUCAUCCCUGAGCUGAACGGGAAGCUCUCUGGCAUGGCCUUCCAUGUCCCCACUCCCAACUGUCAGUUGUGGAUCUGACCUGCCGCCUGGAGAAAGCUGCCAAAUAUGAUGAGAUCAAGAAGUAGUGAAGCAGGCAUCAGAGGGCCCCUCAAGGGCAUCCUGGGCUACACUUGAGGACCAGGCUGUCUCCUGUGACUUCAACAGUGACACCCACUCUUCCAUCUUCGAUGCUGGGGCUGGAUGCCCUCAAUGACCACUUCAUCAAGCUCAUUUCCUGGUAUGACAAUGAAUUCAGCUACAGCAACUGGCUGGUGGUUCUCAUGGUCCACAUGGCCUCCAAGGAGUAAGAGCCUCCUGGACCACCAGCCCCAGCAAGAACAAGAGGAAGAGAGAGGCCCUCAGCUGCUGGGGAGUCUCUGCCCCAACUUAAUCCCCCAACACAAUGAGAAUCUUCUGACCUCCAAUUUACAUCCCAGGCCCCUAGGAAGGGGAGGGGCUUCAGGAGCCCUACCUUGUCAUGUACCAUCAAUAAAGUAUACUGUACUCCCCCCUCA
This 1157-nucleotide long non-coding RNA is filed under the name Vulpes vulpes (red fox). RNAcentral describes it as "lncRNA (ENSVVUG00000019232.1)". The record is from RNAcentral. Lineage: Eukaryota; Metazoa; Chordata; Mammalia; Carnivora; Canidae.